Molecule: ribosomal RNA, 253 nt
Filed under: uncultured bacterium
Lineage: Bacteria
Description: partial 16S ribosomal RNA
Rfam family: Bacterial small subunit ribosomal RNA
Source: RNAcentral
UACGUAGGGGGCGAGCGUUGUCCGGAUUUAUUGGGCGUAAAGAGCGUGUAGGCGGUUCGGUAAGUCUGUCGUGAAAUCCUGAGGCUCAACCUCGGACGUGCGAUGGAUACUGCCGGGCUAGAGGAUGGUAGAGGCGAGUGGAAUUCCCGGUGUAGCGGCGAAAUGCGCAGAUAUCGGGAGGAACACCAGUAGCGAAGGCGGCUCGCUGGGCCAUUCCUGACGCUGAGACGCGAAAGCUAGGGGAGCGAACAGG